This 75-nucleotide transfer RNA is filed under the name Sulfolobales archaeon HS-7. It matches the Rfam family "tRNA". Rfam says of the family: Transfer RNA (tRNA) molecules are approximately 80 nucleotides in length. Their secondary structure includes four short double-helical elements and three loops (D, anti-codon, and T loops). The record is from Rfam by way of RNAcentral. Lineage: Archaea; Thermoproteati; Thermoproteota; Thermoprotei; Sulfolobales.
GGGCCCGUCGUCUAGCCUGGUUAGGACGUCGCCCUUACACGGCGAAGGCCCUGGGUUCAAAUCCCAGCGGGCCCA